Molecule: ribosomal RNA, 393 nt
Filed under: uncultured bacterium
Lineage: Bacteria
Description: bacterial SSU rRNA
Rfam family: Bacterial small subunit ribosomal RNA
Source: RNAcentral
CUACCUUUGACAUGUACGGAAUUCGCCAGAGAUGGCUUAGUGCUCGAAAGAGAACCGUAACACAGGUGCUGCAUGGCUGUCGUCAGCUUGUGUCGUGAGAUGAGGGGUUAAGUCCCGCAACGAGCGCAACCCUUGUCAUUAGUUGCUACAUUUAGUUGGGCACUCUAAUGAGACUGCCGGUGACAAACCGGAGGAAGGUGGGGAUGACGUCAAGUCCUCAUGGCCCUUAUAGGUAGGGCUACACACGUCAUACAAUGGCUGGUACAAAGGGUUGCCAACCCGCGAGGGGGAGCCAAUCCUAUAAAACCAGUCGUAGUCCGGAUCGCAGUCUGCAACUCGACUGCGUGAAGUCGGAAUCGCUAGUAAUCGUGGAUCAGAAUGUCACGGUGAAUA